UAAGCGUGAUACUCGUCUGUUUUUAAGGUAACCGUCACAAUAAGAAAUGCUUAUGUUUUGAUUUUUUUUUUUUGUUACCUUUCAUACUUAUUCGUUCUGGUUUUCAGCGUAUAGGAUACCUUCAAAGCUGUCGGCCAAAAAUGGAGAGAUCCGUACCUGCCAACUGUCUCUUUUUGCGGAGGGUUUCCCCCAUGAAUGCUCCUACAAUGUAUGAUAGAAAUAUUGAAAGAGCAAAUUCGUCUACAAUUAUACAUUUUUUUGGCUGUAGGCUUGUAACAGUAUGAAGAAGCCAAACACAACAUUAAACUAUAUUUGAAGGCCCCUUUGGAGGUUUUGUAGGAUUAUGACAGCCAUCUUGCACGUAAAACCCUAUGGGCAGGUAUGAAGAUAUGGGAAAAUUUGAAUUAUCUUCGAUAUUCCGUAUAUCCCUUUCCACUUUUCGCUUCAAAAUAAUGUGAUUACUAGUAUAUACACGCUACGUUUUCUUCUUUGUACAUUUGUACACAAAUUAAUUAUUAUUUUUUCCAUAAUUAAUUCCAAAAGUGAAAAACAUUUUAUUUCAAUAACGAUUUACAUUUUUGUUUUCCAUUUUAUACAGAGAUUCAUUACAC
RNAcentral lists this long non-coding RNA (611 nucleotides) under Mytilus galloprovincialis (Mediterranean mussel). The record is from RNAcentral. Lineage: Eukaryota; Metazoa; Mollusca; Bivalvia; Mytilida; Mytilidae.